This 63-nucleotide transfer RNA is filed under the name Isshikia dimidiaticornis. RNAcentral's name for it is "tRNA-Asp". The record is from RNAcentral. Lineage: Eukaryota; Metazoa; Arthropoda; Insecta; Coleoptera; Chrysomelidae.
AAAAUUUAGUUAAAUUAUAACAUUAGUUUGUCAAACUAAAAUUAUCAAAAUUGAUAAUUUUUU